Molecule: non-coding RNA, 3908 nt
Organism: Podarcis lilfordi (Lilford's wall lizard)
Lineage: Eukaryota; Metazoa; Chordata; Lepidosauria; Squamata; Lacertidae
Source: the annotation of a GenBank genome assembly
GUGUGGUUUUUAAAGAAAUAUUAAAAUCGCUAUCAGUGUAAUAAAAAGUAAUUUUUAGUUGGAUAGUGUGGAGCUUUAAUAAACGUUAUUUAACUUAAUUUAUAGGGUGUGGUCCUCCCUGGCAGGGCCGACUGCCUGCUCGUAAAGGGAUCCCUAUAGGACAAGGCAGAUGAUUGCCAUUUUUGUUCUCCCCAUACCUUCUCAGUGUGAGCAUCACUGGCACAUGUGCAAGUGGCUGCCCAGGUUGUCACGGCAACCAAAAGGCCUCCUUGCCUUCGCCCCUCCAACCUUUAACAUGUUGUGCAAACCCACGCACGAUUCCUAAAAAACAAGCCCCACUUUGUUCAGUGGGGCUUACUGCCGGGGAAGGGUGCAAACGGCUGCAGCCUCAGUCGCAGAAAACGAGCACUGGAGCGCAUGUUCAUUAGCUGAGCAGAUUUGAGGGUGGGGAUAGGAGAAGUUUUACAUCGCCCUCCUCCUCUCUCUCAUGGGUCGGCGGUGUGGCUGUGCAGGUGUACACACUGAGCAGGGAACAAAGCGAAAAAAUGCCUUUGCGAGGCCCUGCGGCGAUUCCUCUCUGCCGCCAUGCAGGGAAGGAUCACGGCCACUUGUUUUUCUUUUGAGGUGCAUUUUUAAAAACAUUCAUUUCCAAGGAAUUUACAAUCCAAGUAGAAAAAAGGACUAUUAUGACAUUUUAACAUUGUUGUUCGAAUAUGAUAAAAAAAAUAUUUACUAUCUUCCCUAGUAAUCUGACCCCUUUGCUUCUCUGUAUUGUUGCUGUAAUCUUUUUUUUUUUUCCCUUCCCUUGCCCGGAUGUCUUUUUUUUUGCUAACCUUUCAUCUGUUGUUGGUGGGGCAGUCCGGUGCCCACGAGCGACUUCCAGUACUUUAGUCAAUGUCGUUUGAUAGCAGCCAGUGAACAAAUCAUAAAAUAUCUGGUUAGUCAAAUGUCUUUGGUUUCAGCCGUUGGUCAGUCUUGCAUUUAUGCACUUGGAACGGUAGCCUACCAUAAAAGGUAAAGGUAAAGGGACCCCUGACCGUUAGGUCCAGUCGUGGCAGACUCUGGGGUUGUGGCGCUCAUCUCACUUUACUGGCCGAGGGAGCCGGCGUACAGCUUCCAAGUCAUGUGGCCAGCAUGACUAAGCCGCUUCUGGCGAACCAGAGCAGCAGAAAUGCCGUUUACCUUCCCGCCGGAGCGGUACCUAUUUAUCUACUUGCACUUUGACGUGCUUUCAAAUUGCUAGGUUGGCAGGAGCAGGGACUGAGCAACAGGAGCUCACCCCGUUGCAGGGAUUCGAACCGCCGACCUUCUGAUCAGCAAGUCCUAGGCUCUGUGGUUUAACCCACAGCGCCAUCUGCGUCCCUAGCCUACCAUAGACAAGGAAUAAUUGCAUGCCGGCAAGGGAGUUGACCAGUGGAGAUGUGGAUAAUAAUAAUUUAUUAUUUGUACCUCGCCCAUCUGGCUGGGCUUCCCCAGCCACUCUGGGCGGCUUCCAACAAAGAUUAAAAAUACCACACCUCUGUGCCCAUCCAAGAAACCAAGAAGGCUUUUAGAGGAGGGACAGUGGUGGACCCCAGCUCCCUUCUGCCUUGAGUAACCCGGCCGGUUCUCAGGGCUGGUGGGAGUUGGGAGUCUAGCGAGACCCAACCAGGUUCCCUAUCCCUGGUUUAUGCCUUUGCCGACCUGAUGCCCUUGAAGAUAUUUUGGACUACAACUCCCAUCAGCCCUAGCCUGCGAAGGCUGAUGGGAACUGGAGUCCAAGCCAUCGGGUUGGUGAAGGCUGCUGUAGAUAAUUGCAGAAGUGGCAUUCAAGAUGUGAACACAGAGCCCAGGCAGAGGGAAAUGCUCAGAAGAAAUGCUUCACCAUAGGGAUGACCUUAACAAGCCGUGAAAAUUUUAUACCGUGUCUUGAUGGCCAUUUUAUAGACCUACUAUGGAUCAUCUCCGCUACAGUUUAUUGCAAGCUUAUUCCUAACUUUUCCAGCGGCAAAUGGUUCUACAUUACAGUGGUGCCUUGGUUUAGUUUAUGAACAACUUGGAUUAAGAACACUGCAAACCCGGAAGUAGGUGUUUUGGUUUGUGAACUUUGCCUUGGAAGCAGAACAUGUUCCGCUUCCUGCUGAGUGUGUUCCAUUUGUAAACUGAGUCCCCCGCUGCUAUGGGAAAGCACACCUUGGUUUAAGAACGCUUUGGUUUAAGAACGGACUUCCGGAACGGAUUAGGUUUGUAAACCAAGGUACCACUGUAUAGGUGACGAGGUUAUCCACAGCUGGGAAAUAGCAAAUUGUUGCAGGUUUCACUAACCUCCUGUAGCUUAAUAUGAAGCCCUAGGAGAUCACCAGGAGCACCAUAUGGGUAGUGUCGUGGCUGAUAUUCUCAGUUGUAUUUUAACCAUAUUUGCAAAAGCACUGAAUUUGACAGAGCAGCUUUCUCUUGGUGGAACACAUUUCUGUUCCUUCCCCUAUCUAAUAAAAUUCCAGAACACUUAAAUCUGGAAUGAAUUUUUGAUUUGUGCCAGGCUCUUGCACUCAUAGCUGUCAACUUUUCCCUUUUCUUGCGAGGAAUCCUAUUCGGAAUAAGGGAAUUUCCCUUUAAAAAAGGGAAAUGUUAUCAGCUAUGCUUGCACUCUGCCUUAUUUUGAGAGACUGGGAAUUGACCAUUUCAAGGUUUUCACCUACUGCUAAGGAUGCCUCCUUUAUACCCUCCCAGUCCCUAAGGACAACAGAAACAGGGCCUUUUAUUACUAUAUAUUUGCUGAUCCCCAAGCUCUGAGGUAGGUAACGCCAAUAGUACAGUAUGUAAGACUGGAUGCAUUUACAAAAAUCAACACAAUAAUUUUUUUAAGUUUCCCCAUCAUGUUAUAUACUGUAUUUUUUCAACCCCAAGUAAGAAUGCAGCGUUGAUGUGACUUGAUUUUGUAUUUGCCUCUCAUUAUGUUCCAAUCUCCUGUUGAUGUGGGUUUUUCGAGGUAGUCUGUAUGGUUAACCAUCUAGUAUUAAGAUUACGGUACAAUAAAUAAAUAUUGUGAUACUAAUAACUCCAUUGCAUAUACAAAUCAGCAUUUAUAAUGUGUAUACUUAAAAAAAAAAUCCCAUUUUGAACUAGGUGUGCAAAAAAGAGUUGGCCUCAAUCAGUCAUAGUUGAAACUGAUGUGGAACUAAAUUUAAAAAAACCGCUUUCAAAUAAUCUGCCAGAUUUUGGUUUUUUUAACCCUAUGCCACGCUCCCACCAAAAGUGGAGUUGUUGGCAGCAGCCAACUGUCUUCAAUAUUGUAAACCUACCUGUUAUAAUCCUGUAUCUUUUAAGAAACAUAACAGAGGUUAAGAUCAGUUGGCCAAAGCUGAGUGCAAAAUGCAAGACCAGAGAUGGUGCACAGGUUAAGGAAAGGAAGGGCAAAACACUGUUAGCUUGGAAAUCUGGAUUAGCUAGUUGUGGUUACAUGGGGGCAAAGUUCUGAUCUUUGUUACCUGAAGACCACCAAACCAUUUCAUACUGAAGGACACACUCUCAAAGGCAUUGCUAGCAAGGACUGAGAUACCUGUGAACAAGGUAAGGCUUUUCUCUCCAUAUAUAUAGAAGGACCCAGAUAGUGUUAGCUCGAACAGAAAUGUACUCUCUCUUCAUCUUGGCCAGCUGAAUUGAAAGGAGUUAAUUUUGGAAAAAUAUUCUUCCUCCUGGAUUAACUCUCCCUUCGAGCCUUCUCUUUUUAAUUUGUUUAUUGAUCUGUUUUGUUACAUCUCUAUGUCUGCUGUUCUUCUCCUUGUAUUAUUUCUUCAUCUAUUAUCCCUGUAGACUUGGGCUUUUCAAUUUGAAUUUAUUGUAUUCCAGUUUCUUACGAUAGUCAAUAAAAUUUGUUAAAAUGUAUUCCCGGUGUCUCAUCUGUCACGUGGCAACAUCAGUCCGAACCU